RNAcentral lists this transfer RNA (76 nucleotides) under Gammaproteobacteria bacterium. RNAcentral's name for it is "tRNA-Thr". It matches the Rfam family "tRNA". Rfam says of the family: Transfer RNA (tRNA) molecules are approximately 80 nucleotides in length. The record is from RNAcentral. Lineage: Bacteria; Pseudomonadati; Pseudomonadota; Gammaproteobacteria.
GCCGGAAUAGCUCAGUUGGUAGAGCAUCUCAUUCGUAAUGAGGGGGUCGGGGGUUCGAAUCCCUCUUCCGGCACCA